Non-coding RNA from Rattus norvegicus (Norway rat), 1183 nucleotides. Lineage: Eukaryota; Metazoa; Chordata; Mammalia; Rodentia; Muridae. The record is from RefSeq and is a predicted model, not a curated record.
ACUCCCGAGGAGCUCCCCCAACCUUUGUACUGCACUCUAGUGCUGUCUUUUGUAAUCCAUCCAUGCGGUCGUACCAGAGCGAUUAACGGGGGGGAAAAAAACCUCUUUUCUCUUAAUGUUUCAAAGCUCAUUAGCCAAACGAUUAUUCCUCAUUAACAGCGAAGGCUCAUUCAUUAAAAGGAAGGAUAUGCCCAAAAGAUGCCAGCGCGGUUAAUCCUGAGUCCCGUAACUGGACGCGCCUGCCCCUGGCUCAGCGCCCGGUGCCAACAGAACACCUUCAGGAUUCACAGAAAUGCAGAAACCGCUCCGCCCAGUGCAAUGAUGAGGUCCUCCUUCUGGCCGCCUUCAGAGUCUCUCCUGGUUACCUUAGGAUCAAGAUGUAGAACUCUCAGACCCUCCAGCACCAUGUCUGCCUGCACACUGCCCUGCUUCCGGCCAUGAUGGUAAUGGUCUGAACCUCUGAAACGAAAUUGAGUAUGUGAAAUAAGGCAAAAGAAACAAGCAAAAAUAAUGGCGAUCGCAUGCAACUUUCGACCAAGGGAAGAUGGUUGGAGAACUGGGGGAGUCUGUAAACUUAAUGAGCACUGGAGAAACAAGACACAUAUAGAAGAAAUGCAAGUUCUGUCAAUCCUGGAAAGCUGAGAUCCGGGCAGAUGUGUAAGGCGAGUAUGGCAGGUCAGCAUAAAGGAAAGCAUCCGUGCCCUGGGAAGCAUGGUUUGUUGAUGGAUGAUAAGGAAGGCAACCUGAGGAGUGUUGUGGGUAUGAAUUGGACGAUGCAGGCUCAGGUGCUGGCUGUGAGGAGUUCUGCUUCCGGCCAUGUGAGAGGCUAGACCAUCUCCGCUUCCAGCCAUGUGAGAGGCUGGACCAUCUCCGCUUCUGGCCAUGUGAGAGGCUAGACCAUCUUAGAUUGGAUUAGUAUUUUGAAAGGAAAAUAAGUGCUAUGUGAGGACUUAGUAGGUUGGCCACUUGCAAACUGAGAAGAGAUCUCGGAUCGCCGAUCUCUGGAAGGGUGAGAAAUGUUUGCUGUUUAGUCCCCCACACUUUGACAUAUGUCAUAGAUGCCUCGGACAGUGAUUAUCAGGGUUGUCAUAUCUUCGACCACGAUUUUUCUUUCACCCAAUUCAUCUCGGAUCCUACCCACCAACUUCUUUUUCUAUUACUCCUGUUUCAAAAACAAACAAAC